UACGUAGGGGGCAAGCGUUGUCCGGAAUCAUUGGGCGUAAAGAGCGUGUAGGCGGUCCGGUAAGUCGGCUGUGAAAGUCCAGGGCUCAACCCUGGGAUGCCGGUCGAUACUGCCGGACUAGAGUUCGGAAGAGGCGAGUGGAAUUCCCGGUGUAGCGGUGAAAUGCGCAGAUAUCGGGAGGAACACCAAUUGCGAAGGCAGCUCGCUGGGACGUAACUGACGCUGAGACGCGAAAGCGUGGGGAGCAAACAGG
RNAcentral lists this ribosomal RNA (253 nucleotides) under uncultured bacterium. RNAcentral describes it as "partial 16S ribosomal RNA". It matches the Rfam family "Bacterial small subunit ribosomal RNA", at positions 524 to 776 of the family's 1533-position model. The record is from RNAcentral.